CUAGCCUGCGUGGUGAAGUAUAUAUAUUUCAGUUUUGAGGUGGCUGAAGAUGGCAUGGAAUACUAAACAAUAUAACAAGAAUUUGUUUUUCUCAAUGGAUAUUGUGAAGCAAAGCUAAGUUCAAGUGCUGGAAAACCAAUCCCUUGUUGCCAGCAGACUAGCAGACAACCGAUAAAAGGUCGCAUCACUGGGUAUAUAUUCCAGGAAGAGGCAUUGCCAUGCGUCAAAGCUGUAAUAUUCUACAGUAAUGGAAAAAUCAUUUGUAGCAAUCCCAAAAUGCCCUGGGUGAAAAUCAAGAUUGAACAGUUUGAAAGCAGUCAAUAAACACUUGUGCCUAGGCUCCAAGACAAGCUCCCAGCCUCUAUCAUUAAUAUAUCAGAGAUCAACUACCCAACCACAUCAUUCAACUCAAUGCCUAUAGCCAUUAUAUAUUCAGGAGGCAAGAUUGGUUCUGUUAUUUUAUUUUAAGCAUGGUUAUAUAGUAACUAAAGAAUCUUUUUGGCUGAAAAAGACCAAAGUGCAGUUGUUCCCCAGAAUGUUAGCCAUUUUUUAGGAAUACAGAAUGACUAGGGAUGAGAAGUUUACUCCUUUACUAAAUGUCUUGCUAUUCCUGAAUAGAUAACAAUCCCCUCAAAGAUUAUAAUAAGCAAGACAUCCCAUGAUUGCAGUGGCAGCUCCUAUGUUAUUCAUUAUUACAAAUGCAGAAUAACUGGUUAUCAGUUCUUCAGUUUCCACAAUGAAAUGAGUUUCAGUGAGAUAUCUGCCAUUCUGGGGAACAGCUGCACUUGUGAGUUGGUUUUCUGAUAAAAUGAUAUUGCUUAUUUAAAAAUGAGACGAUUAUUUAGCCAUUAUUUAUUAUUAUUAUUAUUAUUAUUAUUAUUAUUAUUAUUAUUAUUAUUAUUGGGAUCAUAAUGUAAGGAUUUAAGAAGGGGUCAAUUAUAAUCCCUGGGGGACAAACAAGACAGUACAGAUAUUUGGACUGUUUUAGAUUAUUAAAAUAGGCCCCAGUUUGUAUGAAGUACCUUAAUGCAUAUGCAAUAGCAGUUUUAAUUUUCGUGUGAUUUGUAAUUUGUCUCUUCAUACUAAGUGCUUUAAAACAUCAUAUUUAUUUUGAUUGAACAAAAAGGCUGGCAUCUGUGGCAUUGACUAACGUUGUGUUGAUGGAAUGGAUUGGGUGGACAGUGUAUAUGUUAUGUGAUCCACAUAGCUUUUUAUAUGUAAGUGUUCUUAUAAUUAAGUUAUUCAGUUCAGAAGGUAUUUUGGAUGACAAUUGUAUUGUUAUUUUGGUAUAUUUUCAACAUGUGUCCUCAUUUUUACUUUCAUUGAUGUGUGAAUUCUGAAUUAUGAAAUAUGUAUUUAUAUUUAUACAUUGUUUGUUUAAGACAGAAAUCUAUUAUAUAUUAAAUUAACUGCACUGUAUUUAAGUAAUAUCAACUACCGCUGUGUCUUAGUGUGUAACUACAUGGUCUCAGUUGCUUGAUGUUUGUACAUUUUCCAAUAAAAGCCUCAACUCACAUCAAUA
Acipenser ruthenus (sterlet) is the source of this 1522-nucleotide RNA transcript. It is a transcript of the gene named C-C motif chemokine 4-like, with no coding region annotated. Lineage: Eukaryota; Metazoa; Chordata; Actinopteri; Acipenseriformes; Acipenseridae. The transcript has 4 exons. The record is from RefSeq and is a predicted model, not a curated record.